AAUCCAUAGGUUAAUGAGGCGAACCGGGGGAACUGAAACAUCUAAGUACCCCGAGGAAAAGAAAUCAACCGAGAUUCCCCCAGUAGCGGCGAGCGAACGGGGAGGAGCCCAGAGCCUGAAUCAGCAUGUGUGUUAGUGGAAGCGUCUGGAAAGGCGCGCGAUACAGGGUGACAGCCCCGUACACAAAAGCGCAUGUGCUGUGAGCUCGAUGAGUAGGGCGGGACACGUGGUAUCCUGUCUGAAUAUGGGGGGACCAUCCUCCAAGGCUAAAUACUCCUGACUGACCGAUAGUGAACCAGUACCGUGAGGGAAAGGCGAAAAGAACCCCGGCGAGGGGAGUGAAAAAGAACCUGAAACCGUGUACGUACAAGCAGUGGGAGCACCCUUCGGGGUGUGACUGCGUACCUUUUGUAUAAUGGGUCAGCGACUUAUAUUCUGUAGCAAGGUUAACCGUAUAGGGGAGCCGGAGGGAAACCGAGUCUUAAUUGGGCGUUAAGUUGCAGGGUAUAGACCCGAAACCCGGUGAUCUAGCCAUGGGCAGGUUGAAGGUUGGGUAACACUAACUGGAGGACCGAACCGACUAAUGUUGAAAAAUUAGCGGAUGACCUGUGGCUGGGGGUGAAAGGCCAAUCAAACCGGGAGAUAGCUGGUUCUCCCCGAAAGCUAUUUAGGUAGCGCCUCGUGAAUUCAUCUCCGGGGGUAGAGCACUGUUUCGGCUAGGGGGCCAUCCCGGCUUACCAACCCGAUGCAAACUGCGAAUACCGGAGAAUGUUAUCACGGGAGACACACGGCGGGUGCUAACGUCCGUCGUGAAGAGGGAAACAACCCAGACCGCCAGCUAAGGUCCCAAAGUCAUGGUUAAGUGGGAAACGAUGUGGGAAGGCCCAGACAGCCAGGAUGUUGGCUUAGAAGCAGCCAUCAUUUAAAGAAAGCGUAAUAGCUCACUGGUCGAGUCGGCCUGCGCGGAAGAUGUAACGGGGCUAAACCAUGCACCGAAGCUGCGGCAGCGAACGUAUCACC
Molecule: ribosomal RNA, 1020 nt
Filed under: Salmonella enterica
Lineage: Bacteria; Pseudomonadati; Pseudomonadota; Gammaproteobacteria; Enterobacterales; Enterobacteriaceae
Also listed under: 1 other name
Description: partial 23S ribosomal RNA
Rfam family: Bacterial large subunit ribosomal RNA
Source: RNAcentral